GACGAACGCCGGCGGCGUGCUUAACACAUGCAAGUCGAACGGAAAGGCCCUGCUUUUGUGGGGUGCUCGAGUGGCGAACGGGUGAGUAACACGUGAGUAACCUGCCCUUGACUUUGGGAUAACUUCAGGAAACUGGGGCUAAUACCGGAUAGGAGCUCCUACUGCAUGGUGGGGGUUGGAAAGUUUCGGCGGUUGGAGAUGGACUCGCGGCUUAUCAGCUUGUUGGUGGGGUAGUGGCUUACCAAGGCUUUGACGGGUAGCCGGCCUGAGAGGGUGACCGGCCACAUUGGGACUGAGAUACGGCCCAGACUCCUACGGGAGGCAGCAGUGGGGAAUAUUGCACAAUGGGCGGAAGCCUGAUGCAGCAACGCCGCGUGCGGGAUGACGGCCUUCGGGUUGUAAACCGCUUUCGCCUGUGACGAAGCGUGAGUGACGGUAAUGGGUAAAGAAGCACCGGCUAACUACGUG
This 468-nucleotide ribosomal RNA is filed under the name uncultured bacterium. Its description in RNAcentral is "partial 16S ribosomal RNA". It matches the Rfam family "Bacterial small subunit ribosomal RNA", at positions 28 to 507 of the family's 1533-position model. The record is from RNAcentral.